RNAcentral lists this ribosomal RNA (446 nucleotides) under uncultured bacterium. RNAcentral's name for it is "partial 16S ribosomal RNA". It matches the Rfam family "Bacterial small subunit ribosomal RNA", at positions 338 to 795 of the family's 1533-position model. The record is from RNAcentral.
CCUACGGGUGGCAGCAGUCGAGAAUUAUUCACAAUGGGGGAAACCCUGAUGGUGCGACGCCGCGUGGGGGAAUGAAGGUCUUCGGAUUGUAAACCCCUGUCAUGUGGGAGCAAAUUAAAAAGAUCGUACCACAAGAGGAAGAGACGGCUAACUCUGUGCCAGCAGCCGCGGUAAUACAGAGGUCUCAAGCGUUGUUCGGAAUCACUGGGCGUAAAGCGUGCGUAGGCUGUUUCGUAAGUCGUGUGUGAAAGGCGCGGGCUCAACCCGCGGACGGCACAUGAUACUGCGAGACUAGAGUAAGGGAGGGGGAACCGGAAUUCUCGGUGUAGCAGUGAAAUGCGUAGAUAUCGAGAGGAACACUCGUGGCGAAGGCGGGUUCCUGGACAUUAACUGACGCUGAGGCACGAAGGCCAGGGGAGCGAAAGGGAUUAGAUACCCGUGUAGUC